CUCGGGAUUGGAGGGGUCCCUCAGCCCAGAUUGCGAGAGGGCACAGGCCAGGCCGAGGGACUCCACCGGUGCACG
Molecule: non-coding RNA, 75 nt
Organism: Myotis lucifugus (little brown bat)
Lineage: Eukaryota; Metazoa; Chordata; Mammalia; Chiroptera; Vespertilionidae
Source: Rfam